RNAcentral lists this ribosomal RNA (936 nucleotides) under Phialemonium atrogriseum. RNAcentral describes it as "eukaryotic LSU rRNA". It matches the Rfam family "Eukaryotic large subunit ribosomal RNA", at positions 1 to 953 of the family's 3401-position model. Lineage: Eukaryota; Fungi; Ascomycota; Sordariomycetes; Cephalothecales; Cephalothecaceae. The record is from RNAcentral.
CCAAAUUACAGAAGGUUGACCUCGGAUCAGGUAGGACUACCCGCUGAACUUAAGCAUAUCAAUAAGCGGAGGAAAAGAAACAACAGGGAUUGCCCUAGUAACGGCGAGUGAAGCGGCAACAGCUCGAAUUUGAAAUCUGGCUUCGGCCCGAGUUGUAAUCUGUAGAGGACGCUUUUGGCGCGGUGCCUUCCGAGUUCCCUGGAACGGGACGCCACAGAGGGUGAGAGCCCCGUAAGGUCGGACACCAAGCCUGUGUAAAGCCCCUUCGACGAGUCGAGUAGCUUGGGAAUGCUGCUCUAAGCGGGAGGUAUACUUCUUCUAAAGCUAAAUAUUGGCCAGAGACCGAUAGCGCACAAGUAGAGUGAUCGAAAGAUGAAAAGCACUUUGAAAAGAGGGUCAAAUAGUACGUGAAAUUGUUGAAAGGGAAGCGCUUGUGAUCAGACUCGCGCCGGGCGGAUCAUCCAGUGGUCUCCACUGGUGCACUCCGGCCGGCGCGGGCCAGCGUCGGCUGUUGCGGGGGGACAAAAGCUCUGGGAACGUAGCUCUCUCCGGGGAGUGUUAUAGCCCUCUGCAGAAUACCCCCGCGGCGGCCGAGGUCCGCGCAUUGCAAGGACGCUGGCGUAAUGGUCAUCAGCGACCCGUCUUGAAACACGGACCAAGGAGUCGAGGUUUUGCGCGAGUGUUCGGGUGCAAAGCCCCAACGCGUAAUUAACGUGAACGUAGGUGAGAGCUUCGGCGCAUCAUCGACCGAUCCUGAUGUAUUCGGAUGGAUUUGAGUAGGAGCGUAAAGCCUCGGACCCGAAAGAUGGUGAACUAUGCCUGUAUAGGGUGAAGCCAGAGGAAACUCUGGUGGAGGCUCGCAGCGGUUCUGACGUGCAAAUCGAUCGUCAAAUAUGGGCAUGGGGGCGAAAGACUAAUCGAACCAUCUAGUAGCUG